RNAcentral lists this ribosomal RNA (443 nucleotides) under uncultured bacterium. Its description in RNAcentral is "partial 16S ribosomal RNA". It matches the Rfam family "Bacterial small subunit ribosomal RNA", at positions 338 to 795 of the family's 1533-position model. The record is from RNAcentral.
CCUACGGGAGGCAGCAGUGGGGAAUAUUGGGCAAUGGACGCAAGCCUGACCCAGCAACGCCGCGUGCAGGAAGAAGGCUUUCGGAUUGUAAACUUCUUUUGUCAGGGACGAAACAAGUGACGGUACCUGACGAAUAAGCCACGGCUAACUACGUGCCAGCAGCCGCGGUAAUACGUAGGUGGCAAGCGUUAUCCGGAUUUACUGGGUGUAAAGGGCGUGUAGGCGGUACUGCAAGUCAGAUGUGAAAACCACGGGCUCAACCUGUGGCCUGCAUUUGAAACUGUAGUUCUUGAGUACUGGAGAGGCAGACGGAAUGCCUAGUGUAGCGGUGAAAUGCGUAGAGAUUAGGCGGAACACCAGUGGCGAAGGCGGUCUGCUGGACAGCAACUGACGCUGAGGCGCGAAAGCGUGGGGAGCAAACAGGAUUAGAUACCCGGGUAGUC